This 494-nucleotide ribosomal RNA is filed under the name uncultured bacterium. RNAcentral's name for it is "partial 16S ribosomal RNA". It matches the Rfam family "Bacterial small subunit ribosomal RNA", at positions 28 to 507 of the family's 1533-position model. The record is from RNAcentral.
GACGAACGCUGGCGGCGUGCUUAACACAUGCAAGUCGAACGGAAAGGCCUGCUUUCCCUUGUGGAUUGCGGGUACUCGAGUGGCGAACGGGUGAGUAACACGUGAGUUAUCUGCCCCCAACUUGGGUAUAAGCCUGGGAUACUGGGUCUAAUUCCCGAUAGUACUGCAGGGUGGUGCCUGUGGUGGAAAACGAUUUUCUAGUGGUUGGGGAUGAGCUCGCGGCCUAUCAGCUUGUUGGUGGGGUAAAGGCCUACCAAGGCGGCGACGGGUAGCCGGCCUGGGGGGGUGGACGGUGACAUUGGGACUGGGAUACGGCCCAGACUCCUACGGGAGGCAGCAGUGGGGAAUAGUGCACAAUGAGCGGAAGCCUGAUGCAGCGACGCCGUGUGGGGGAUGACGGCCUUCGGGUGGUAAACUCCUUUCGACCGCGAGGAAGCCACCUGGUUGGAAGGGUGGUGACGGUAGUGGUAGAAGAAGCACCGGCUAACUACGUG